UGCCAGCAGCCGCGGUAAAACGUAGGGGGCCAGCGUUGCUCGGAAUUACUGGGCGUAAAGGGUUCGUAGGCGGUGCGGCAAGUCGGAAGUGAAAUCUCAGGGCUUAACUCUGAGGCUGCUCCCGAAACUGCCGUGCUCGAGUGCGGGAGAGGCGAGUGGAAUUGCAGGUGUAGCGGUGAAAUGCGUAGAUAUCUGCAGGAACACCAGUGGCGAAGGCGGCUCGCUGGACCGCAACUGACGCUGAGGAACGAAAGCUGGGGGAGCAAACAGGAUUAGAUACCCUGGUAGUCCUAGCCCUAAACGAUCAGGACUUGGGGUGCAUCCCGUUCGGGGUGCGUCCCGGAGCUAACGCGUUAAGUCCUGCGCCUGGGGAGUACGGCCGCAAGGCUGAAACUCAAAGGAAUUGACGGGGGCCCGCACAAGCGGUGGAACAUGUGGUUCAAUUCGACGCAACGCGAAGAACCUUACCUGGGCUCGAAGUGUCGGUGACCCGCGGUGGAAACGCCGCCUUCUCGCAAGAGACACCGAUAGAGGUGCUGCAUGGCUGUCGUCAGCUCGUGCCGUGAGGUGUUGGGGUUAAGUCCCGCAACGAGCGCAACC
Molecule: ribosomal RNA, 600 nt
Filed under: uncultured Acidobacteriota bacterium
Lineage: Bacteria; Pseudomonadati; Acidobacteriota
Description: bacterial SSU rRNA
Rfam family: Bacterial small subunit ribosomal RNA
Source: RNAcentral